This 97-nucleotide transfer RNA is filed under the name Paraburkholderia caffeinilytica. Its description in RNAcentral is "tRNA-Gly". The record is from RNAcentral. Lineage: Bacteria; Pseudomonadati; Pseudomonadota; Betaproteobacteria; Burkholderiales; Burkholderiaceae.
CAAAGCGUGGGCCGAAGGUUGGGUCGCGCCGCUGCCGUCGAAGCACAAGACCGGCAAGAAGGUCGCGGUGGUCGGUUCCGGCCCCGCCGGUUUGGCC